UGGGGAAUUUUGGACAAUGGGGGCAACCCUGAUCCAGCAAUGCCGCGUGUGUGAAGAAGGCCUUCGGGUUGUAAAGCACUUUUGUUCGGAAAGAAAUCGCUUCGGCUAAUACCCGGAGUGGAUGACGGUACCGGAAGAAUCAGCACCGGCUAACUACGUGCCAGCAGCCGCGGUAAUACGUAGGGUGCAAGCGUUAAUCGGAAUUACUGGGCGUAAAGCGUGCGCAGGCGGUUGUGCAAGACAGAUGUGAAAUCCCCGGGCUUAACCUGGGAAUGGCAUUUGUGACUGCAUGGCUAGAGUGUGUCAGAGGGGGGUAGAAUUCCACGUGUAGCAGUGAAAUGCGUAGAGAUGUGGAGGAAUACCGAUGGCGAAGGCAGCCCCCUGGGAUAACACUGACGCUCAUGCACGAAAGCGUGGGGAGCAAAC
This 426-nucleotide ribosomal RNA is filed under the name uncultured bacterium. RNAcentral describes it as "bacterial SSU rRNA". It matches the Rfam family "Bacterial small subunit ribosomal RNA", at positions 355 to 773 of the family's 1533-position model. The record is from RNAcentral.